Molecule: long non-coding RNA, 681 nt
Organism: Aquila chrysaetos chrysaetos
Lineage: Eukaryota; Metazoa; Chordata; Aves; Accipitriformes; Accipitridae
Exons: 2
Source: RefSeq, a predicted model, not a curated record
UAUACUAAGAUUUCUUGGUCUUACCCUCUGCUCUUACUCAUGGGAGUGACUGACCACAUAUCCAUGGUGGUCAUGAGCAGUUUUCCACUACCGGCAUCUCUUUUCAGCUGUUAACAAAAAGUACGAGGCAUGAAAUCUAGUAUUUGCAAGCAGUUAAAAGGCUUAAAGUUCUUAUGAUUUUAUCACUUGGUGCUCUUCUAAAUUCUCCACGCUCUCUAUAAAGUUAUGAUGAACUCCAUGCUCAGAAUUGCAUCAACCUUCUCAUCCCCUGAGUUUGCCCGAUGUCUGCAUUACGUUGUAGUCUCUCCCUCUGGAGUGCACAGAUCGGAACGAGCAUGAGUUAAUCUGCGGCAUCCUCCAGCUAGGAGUUUGGAGAAACUUAACAUGGAACAGAAUGCCAAGUACAAGAAAACGUUGGGAAGCGAUAAUGAGCUUUCAAAACUGGCAGCAAUUCCUCUUGGGUUUCCUCUUCAAGUACAAUACCAGUGCAGCUUGUGUUGCUAGCAGAAAAGGGCAGGAAGAGGAUUCUGCGCAAGGUAUGCUCAGGUGAGUCAGGGGGAAGAUAAGCCUGUGCUGUUCCAAACUGAGGAAGCUGUGUUUGAACAGUAGUGCAUUCAAACUGAUCAUCUCUUUAUACUUUUAUACUUGUGACCAGCAAGACAUACCCUGGAGUGGAGGAGA